Molecule: long non-coding RNA, 489 nt
Organism: Pieris napi
Lineage: Eukaryota; Metazoa; Arthropoda; Insecta; Lepidoptera; Pieridae
Exons: 2
Source: RefSeq, a predicted model, not a curated record
UAGUAACAUUAUAAUAUUUUAGAUUUUGUUAUUUCCUAAAUUUGGUUUAAUUCUAUCACUCACUUGUGAGCAUUUUAUUGAACAAUAUUGUGUUAAUAUGAAAAUUCUUUAGUAAUACAGGUACAAGGAAAAUGUAUAUUACAUAAUUUGUAAAGAGUAAUUUACAGACACAAGUAAGUAGCUUUUACCAGUAAGCCUUUUUUUAAGGAAGACUUUAAAAUUAUAUAUUUCCAUCAAGUAAGUAUCAUGAGAAGUCAAUUAUAACCAUUGGGGUUUACCUGUGCAGUAAGUUACAAACUAUGCAAUUUUAAACUCCUAUCUACCAUAAGACAAAUUAUUGUAGCAGUGUAAAGUGUGUUAUUAAGAUGUUUGCAGUUGGUCCAGGCCAGAGUCAUCUUUAACAAUUUAAUUUGAACAGAAUAAAGGAACCCUAGAAACGAAGCAGGACUAGGUAGACUAGACAUUGACAUUUAUCAAGUUCAUCUCAGG